RNAcentral lists this ribosomal RNA (253 nucleotides) under uncultured bacterium. RNAcentral's name for it is "partial 16S ribosomal RNA". It matches the Rfam family "Bacterial small subunit ribosomal RNA", at positions 524 to 776 of the family's 1533-position model. The record is from RNAcentral.
UACGAAGGGGGCUAGCGUUGCUCAGAAUCACUGGGCGUAAAGCGCACGUAGGCGGAUUGUUAAGUCGGGGGUGAAAUCCUGGAGCUCAACUCCAGAACUGCCUUUGAUACUGGCGAUCUUGAGUCCGGGAGAGGUGAGUGGAACUGCGAGUGUAGAGGUGAAAUUCGUAGAUAUUCGCAAGAACACCAGUGGCGAAGGCGGCUCACUGGCCCGGUACUGACGUUGAGGUGCGAAAGCGUGGGGAGCAAACAGG